UCCUUAGAUGUUCUGGGCCGCACGCGCGCUACACUGACCAGUGCAACAAGCAUCCGUCCUUGGCCGACAGGCCCGGGCAAUCUUUGAACGCUGGUCGUGAUGGGGAUAGACUUUUGCAAUUUUUGGUCUUCAACGAGGAAUUCCUAGUAAACGCAAGUCAUCAACUUGCAUUGAUUACGUCCCUGCCCUUUGUACACACCGCCCGUCGCACCUACCGAUUGAAUGGUCCGGUGAAGCCUCCGGAUUGGCGCGCACCUCGGUGCCGCCGAGAAGUUGGCUAAACCUUACCAUUUAGAGGAAGGUGAAGUCGUAACA
Molecule: ribosomal RNA, 315 nt
Filed under: uncultured eukaryote
Lineage: Eukaryota
Description: partial 18S ribosomal RNA
Rfam family: Eukaryotic small subunit ribosomal RNA
Source: RNAcentral